GCAGGGGCUCGGAACCCGGCUGGCGGGGAGCGGGCCCCGGGAGCUCCCUUUCCGGGCAGGAGCCCAGACUGCAGGACCCUUUUGCGGACUUGCCUUAGCGCUACGGAGCGAUUCCUCUGAGUCUGGUCCUGAGCUCAGAGAGAGGGCUUCGCACUCGUUUCAUUUAAUCCUAACAGCAUUCCUGUGUAGUUGAAGUGUAGUUACUCCUUCCCCCAUUUUACUGAUGAGGAGACUGAGGCACAAUGUUGUGACUUGCCCGAGUCAGACAUCUAUUUCGUGGCGGAAACAGGUCUCAAACCCGAAUUUACACCUCAAAGCUACGCCAUCUAUCACUCCUAUCUCCCUCCCCUCCUGCCACAUUGCUUCAGGUUGGGGUGCGGAGGAAGGAAGGAGGAGUGAUGAUUGUGAAGGAAAAUGCUAAUAUUUCAGUUGCUGGUCAUGCACGCCUGGCCGCGCUGGAUUUCUAUUAGGCUGUUUAUUGCGCAGACUUCCCCGCCCCCUACUCCCACCUGCAGGUACUUUUCGUGGAUACUCAGCCCCUCUGCCAGGAUUUCCCUUGCUGUCUCAUAUCCGUCCACUUCAGAGCUAUCUUUUUUUGGAAAUCUUGGCCUAUGGCCUUGAUCCCGCCACUUUUUUUCUGAAUUGAGAAGGAUGACACUUGUCAUAUCUUGUCAUUCUUGGCUUCUUUCGUGCUAAUACAGAUGUAUAAUCUUGAGUGACAGUGAGAGAACUAAUUCCUCCAUAGGACCAACUGGAUAAAAGAGCUGCUUCUUUAUUGCUUUUUGCCUUAACCCGGUUCACACAGACUUACUGGAGAUGUUGUGGUUUGAACAAGGAAUGAAUCUGCAUUCUAUAGGUAGUCUGGCCUGCCUAAGGCUGUGAGGCCAGAGCUCAGUGUUCAGCCUCUGAGCAGAGAGCCGAAGGGGUGCUGUGUCAGAAUUCAUCUCAAAGUUUGACAAGGCAGGAUCUCUCUGGAGACAUUGAUCAACAAUAGUCAGGAACAAGCUUGAAAGGAAGACAAAUGGAAAAGACCAAAAUAAGCUGGUUUAUUCUCUCAGAAUUUUGCUUCAGCUAUUAAGGUUAUGGGAAAAUAUUCCACUGACCGGAGUGGUAAAAUGAUUUGGAUAACUUGGGGUCUUUUAAAAAAAUUCCACAUAUACACAUAUAUAUAAAUGUGCAUUCACCUUCAUGUUCUGGUACUAGCACUGUGUGUAGUAAAUGGAAUACACGGGUUCCUCCCUCGGAGACCUUAUAUUAACAAGAUAGACAUGGCAUCUUUUAAUUUUUAAAAAAUACAAGGUCUGGGUAAUGUGAACAAUAAUUUAUGUUAUUCCUGAGAGUAAUAAAAGUGAAAGUGAAAAAUGUAGUCAUGCCUUCAAGGAGUAAAUAUUUUAUGUUAUGUAUCUGCUCCUUAGGAGACAUCUGAUGUAGUAAUACCCACACUUUAAAAAUAAGUAAAAAUGAUCUUGCUUCACAGCCUUUUCUUUGUAGGGGCGUUUGUUUCACGUGUGGGGUAAAGUGUUGUGAAGCGGUAGUUACAGAAAGGCAGUGGCGGUGGGAGAUAAGGUUAGCAGGAGGACAAGGCAGAUGGGGAAACCUAAAUGUUAACAAUAAGACAAUUAAGUCAUAUAAUUUUUCCGUAUGUUCCGACGAGUGAGAAUGGAUGCCAGUACAAUGAAGGUCAAAUGGGUAUAGGAAGAUGCUACAAAAGGGUAUCUAUGGCUGCAGUUUCAAACUCAGAAGAGCACAGUUUUCCAGGAUAGGAUUUUGAUGGGCAAAAUCAAUAAUCCUUUGUUUGAGACAGUGAGAAGAGGGUGCACAGGCUGGCAGAAGGAGCUUGGGCAAGAGGGGAGCUAAGCUACAUAAGGAGACACAUAGUUGUGCCAACUUCUUAAGAAACAUUAGCUGAGGUAGGUUGAAUGAGAGAUUAAAUUGUGAGCAGCUUGGCAACUCCUCAUCUUGUUGGCUGGAGAGAUGCAGAGGCUCCACAUGUUUCCGCUAACUUGGAACGUGGCCAUGACCUCUCUCCAAUAGGAGCCUUCUUCACAUCAUCUAGGAAAAACUUGCCUUAUUCAUAAAAGAACCAGCACAGUAGUAAUAGAAGGAUACUAUAAGAAAGGAGAGAAACAAUGGGAAACAAGUGGCAGGUAAAGUACCCACACUAGGAAAAUGUUUUUACCUCAGCUGAAAUUAGGAGCCACUCCUGCCACCAUAAUGUCAGAGAACUUACGAAAAUAAGGAACUCCAAGCAGAGAUACAGAAGAUCAGGUAAAAUAAGGUCUGGUGACAAGAGAAAAUGGAACAACAGCAAGUAGAGCCCAGGAAAAUAGUGGAAGCUAAAACAAAAAUUAUUACAGAAUUAAAAGCCAUAAUGGAAAGAAUAAAAAUGAAUAUUAACUGCUGAAAACACAGUGAAAGAUAGGGAAGACAGAUUGAGAAAAUGAAAUGGAAAUAAAUAAUUAGAACAUAAUAGAUACAGAAAAUAAAGAUCUAACUUAGGUAUAAUUGGUGUCCCUGAAGAAAACCAAAGAAAUGAAACAAAACUCGUAUGUAGUUAACGACUUUUAUAGAAAUAAAGAUUUGAAGUUAUGAGUUCAAACUAUAUCUCACAAUUGGCACUGAAACAUUUCUUAGGGAAGUUUCUAUAGUUUAAAGAAUCUUUUGGACAUCCAGGCAAAACGCUUGAGGGAAAAGGAGAAAUUGGUGACAGGGUAAGGGAGCAAUGUCUAUAAAUCUGCGACUUUUAGUUUUAGGUCGUGUUACUGUAAAUACCCGAGAAUACGCUUAAGAAUAUGUAAGAUUUAUAUGGGGAAAAGUAUGCACUUUUUAAAAGAUAACUCAGUUUAUAAAAAUUGACGAUGUAUUAAGAAAGAAAAUUUUAAUUUAAGAGAAAUCAAUAGAUUGGAAAAAAUACUACAUAUCAAAACUUUUGGGGAGAUGAGGAAACUAAAGCCCAGAUAUGCUAAGUGACUUGCCUAAAGUGACAUGCUAAUAAUAGGGCCAGAACUGGAAUGCUGCCUGUCUCCAAAGUCUUAAAUAUAUACUGGUGUCAGAAAAAAAAAAUUAUGGGAAAAAAGAAGUGUUGAAGAACAGUGGGGAACACUUACCCUACCAGAUUAGAAUAAGCAUACUGGAAAUGGUAUAGUUGUAGCCAGAGGGGUUGGUAAAACAAAGAAUGUUCCAAAGCAGAUCUAAAUAUAUAUAGAAAUGUAGUAUAUGAUAAGAUAGAACCUUAAUUCAUUGGGGGAAAAAAUUACUAAAUCGACAUAAUCGUCUAUCUGACAGGAAUAUUUAGAACCAUCUAAUUCAUAUCAUAUUUGAAAAUUCCAGGUCAAAUAUCCAAAGACAAAUCUCACAAACAAUAAUAAAAGAAAACUGACUAGGAAUGUAAAGAGAGUGCUGCUACAAUUUUUUAAGACUACAGUAAAAAACGAUCCAAAUGAAAUUUAAAAAUAUGUUUUAAGGGAAAGCAGUACUAAACUUUAAGGAGUAGAAAACAAUAAUUUAAAAAUCAUGGAAGAAUUGAAAAUGUAGUCAAAGAUCUACCUCCAAAACAGAACCACCCUCACUUUUGUGGGUUAAUUUAACCAAAGGAAAUCUGUAACAAAUAAGGGAACAGUAGCCAUCUGUAAGAGUUCCUGCAAAUCAAUAUGAAAAAGAUACAACUCAGUGGAAAACAGCAAAUGUUUUAAGUUGGUGGUUCAGCAUUAUGGUGAAGAGCUUGGGUUGUAGGAUGGGACUGCUUAUAUUUAAGAUGCAAGAAGUUAACCUAUCUUUUACUUAGUAUCUUCUUCUGAAAGUGGGAAGAGUAAUAGCACCUACCUCAUGGAGGUGUCGAGGUAAUGCAUGUAAAAUGCAUGUAAAACAUGAAGCAUAAUGUUAUGACUUGGUCCAUCAUAAGUACUUAGAUAUGAACAGUUACUGUUACUCAGAAAUAAAAAUAGUAAACGAAUAUGCUCAGCCUCAAUAGUAAAAUGGUGAUGAAAUGCCUUUUUUCAUCAGAGUAGCAACAAUGUAAAAGAUUUAUUAUUUUCAGUGUUUUCAAAGGUAUGGGGAAAUUGACACUCAUAUACUGUUAAUGAAAGUACAUGGAAGCAACCUCUUUGUAGGCUAUUUGUCAGAAUCUAUUAACAUUUAAAAUGUAUGAUGCAACAAUUAUACUUCUAGCAAUCUCUCCAAUAAAAGCAUUUGCACGUGUACGAA
This is a long non-coding RNA of Pteropus alecto (black flying fox), 4203 nucleotides long. RefSeq lists it as uncharacterized. The transcript is spliced from 2 exons. Lineage: Eukaryota; Metazoa; Chordata; Mammalia; Chiroptera; Pteropodidae. The record is from RefSeq and is a predicted model, not a curated record.